Molecule: transfer RNA, 73 nt
Filed under: Planctomycetota bacterium
Lineage: Bacteria; Pseudomonadati; Planctomycetota
Description: Planctomycetes bacterium (groundwater metagenome) tRNA-Met
Rfam family: tRNA
About the family: Transfer RNA (tRNA) molecules are approximately 80 nucleotides in length. Their secondary structure includes four short double-helical elements and three loops (D, anti-codon, and T loops).
Source: RNAcentral
GCCGGGGUAGCUCAGCUGGUAGAGCAGCGGAAUCAUAAUCCGCGUGUCAGGGGUUCGAGUCCCUUCCCCGGUA